GUGGGGAAUUUUGGACAAUGGGCGCAAGCCUGAUCCAGCAAUGCCGCGUGCAGGAAGAAGGCCUUCGGGUUGUAAACUGCUUUUGUACGGAACGAAAAGGCUCUGGUUAAUACCUGGGGCUCAUGACGGUACCGUAAGAAUAAGCACCGGCUAACUACGUGCCAGCAGCCGCGGUAAUACGUAGGGUGCAAGCGUUAAUCGGAAUUACUGGGCGUAAAGCGUGCGCAGGCGGUUUUGUAAGACAGAGGUGAAAUCCCCGGGCACAAACUGGGAAUUGCCGUUGUGACUGCAAGGGUGGGGUGCGGCAGAGGGGGAUGGAAUUCCGCGUGUAGCAGUGAAAUGCGUAGAUAUGCGGAGGAACACCGAUGGCGAAGGCAAUCCCCUGGGCCUGCACUGACGCUCAUGCACGAAAGCGUGGGGAGCAAACAGGAUUAGAAACCCGAGUAGUCC
This 450-nucleotide ribosomal RNA is filed under the name uncultured bacterium. RNAcentral describes it as "partial 16S ribosomal RNA". It matches the Rfam family "Bacterial small subunit ribosomal RNA", at positions 354 to 796 of the family's 1533-position model. The record is from RNAcentral.